RNAcentral lists this ribosomal RNA (304 nucleotides) under uncultured bacterium. Its description in RNAcentral is "partial 16S ribosomal RNA". It matches the Rfam family "Bacterial small subunit ribosomal RNA", at positions 506 to 807 of the family's 1533-position model. The record is from RNAcentral.
CAGCAGUAGCCGCGGUAAUACGAAGGGUGCAAGCGUUAAUCGGAAUUACUGGGCGUAAAGCGUGCGUAGGCGGUGAGUUAAGUCUGCUGUGAAAUCCCCGGGCUCAACCUGGGAAUGGCAGUGGAUACUGGCUCGCUAGAGUGUGUCAGAGGAUGGUGGAAUUCCCGGUGUAGCGGUGAAAUGCGUAGAGAUCGGGAGGAACAUCAGUGGCGAAGGCGGCCAUCUGGGACAACACUGACGCUGAGGCACGAAAGCGUGGGGAGCAAACAGGAUUAGAUACCCCGGUAGUCCCUGUCUCUUAUAC